GAAAAACUUAGCAUAAACGUGAUCAGCUAAAGCCGGCUAACAGAAUGAGGAUGCUACAAGGAAAUGAUUCAAAAACAAAAAACCAGCACAUGGAUCUUAAAACCAGAUACAAGCACAUGAUAAGCAUAAGCAAAUGAACAGGGCAGCAAGAAAUCACAAACAGAUGUAACAAAUAAAGAACCAACAUGAUUCAAUAGCAACAAAAAGAUAACUCAAAAGAUAGCAACCAUGUCUGAUUUGCUCACAAGACCUUGCUUAGCCAGACCAUCCGCAACAGCAUUCCCUUCACGAAGGAUAUAGGUAAAUUCAACAGGAGGAAGAAUUCUCAAGAAGUUUGAAAUUUCAUUGUUGACGGGAAAGUUUCCAAGGCGAAAAAGAGGGAUCUUGAGCCCACUGAACCGCAUUCUUCGAAUCAGAUUCUACAUAAAUGAUUGUGGAUUUAGCAGAUAGCAGAGGUAAAGUAACUGAAAUUUCAAGAGCUUUUCGAAUGGCAAGCAGUUGUGCCGAGCUUGAAUCCAUACAUCCAAUAGGGCAUGAAAAGAUACUGUGGAGAAAAACUUCCGAGUCCCGC
RNAcentral lists this unclassified non-coding RNA (571 nucleotides) under Hevea brasiliensis (rubber tree). The record is from RNAcentral. Lineage: Eukaryota; Viridiplantae; Streptophyta; Magnoliopsida; Malpighiales; Euphorbiaceae.